This 205-nucleotide ribosomal RNA is filed under the name uncultured bacterium. RNAcentral's name for it is "partial 16S ribosomal RNA". It matches the Rfam family "Bacterial small subunit ribosomal RNA", at positions 568 to 774 of the family's 1533-position model. The record is from RNAcentral.
CGCGUAGGCGGAUUAGAAAGUUGGGGUGAAAUCCCGGGCUCAACCCCGGAACUGCCUCCAAAACUACUAGUCUAGAGUUCGAGAGAGGUGAGUGGAAUUCCGAGUGUAGAGGUGAAAUUCGUAGAUAUUCGGAGGAACACCAGUGGCGAAGGCGGCUCACUGGCUCGAUACUGACGCUGAGGUGCGAAAGUGUGGGGAGCAAACA